Molecule: ribosomal RNA, 253 nt
Filed under: uncultured bacterium
Lineage: Bacteria
Description: partial 16S ribosomal RNA
Rfam family: Bacterial small subunit ribosomal RNA
Source: RNAcentral
UACGUAGGGGGCUAGCGUUGUCCGGAUUUAUUGGGCGUAAAGAGCGUGUAGGCGGCCAAGCAGGUCCGCUGUGAAAACUCGAGGCUCAACCUCGAGAGGUCGGUGGAAACCGUUUGGCUAGAGUCCGGAAGAGGAGAGUGGAAUUCCUGGUGUAGCGGUGAAAUGCGCAGAUAUCAGGAGGAACACCGGUGGCGAAGGCGGGUCUCUGGGCCGAUACUGACGCUGAGGAGCGAAAGCGUGGGGAGCGAACAGG